RNAcentral lists this transfer RNA (103 nucleotides) under Dactylellina haptotyla CBS 200.50. RNAcentral describes it as "tRNA-Und (NNN) (tRNA-Und-NNN-4-1)". It matches the Rfam family "tRNA". From Rfam's summary of the family: Transfer RNA (tRNA) molecules are approximately 80 nucleotides in length. Their secondary structure includes four short double-helical elements and three loops (D, anti-codon, and T loops). The record is from Rfam by way of RNAcentral. Lineage: Eukaryota; Fungi; Ascomycota; Orbiliomycetes; Orbiliales; Orbiliaceae.
GGCCUCGUAGUGUAAUUGGCAUAGCACAACUCAUAGCUUCCAGACGUAGUGGUGCACUUAGCAUUGAAAAGAGUAGAUACAGGUUCAAGUCCUGUCGAGGUCC